AAUCAGGAUUCAACAGAGGGAUAUUGUUUGGGAGUUCAGCAGUCUCAUCUUGCCCUAGUUACCAAUUUCCAACAACCAACAUUUUCGGCUUUGGAUCAACCACGGUGCAUCCGAAAUUGGGAUUUGGGUUUGAGGUGAGUGUCUCGAUGUGGGAUUGGUCUAUCUGACGCGAUCGACAGAUAAAGG
Molecule: long non-coding RNA, 186 nt
Organism: Zingiber officinale
Lineage: Eukaryota; Viridiplantae; Streptophyta; Magnoliopsida; Zingiberales; Zingiberaceae
Exons: 3
Source: RefSeq, a predicted model, not a curated record